Molecule: ribosomal RNA, 468 nt
Filed under: uncultured bacterium
Lineage: Bacteria
Description: partial 16S ribosomal RNA
Rfam family: Bacterial small subunit ribosomal RNA
Source: RNAcentral
GACGAACGCUGGCGGCGUGCUUAACACAUGCAAGUCGAACGGAAAGGCCCUGCUUUUGUGGUGUGCUCGAUUGGCGAACGGGUGAGUAACACGUGUGUAACCUGCCCUUGACUUUGGGAUAACUUCAGGAAACUGGGGCUAAUACCGUAUAGGAUCUCCUGCUGCAUUGUGGGGGUUGGAAAGUCUCGGCGGUUGGGGAUGGACGCGCGGCUUAUCAGCUUGCUGGUUGGGUAGUGGCUUACCAAGGCUUUGACGGGUAGCCGGCCUGUGAGGGUGAACGGCCACAUUGGGCCUGAGAUACGGCCCAGACUCCUACGGGAGGCAGCAGUGGGGAAUAUUGCACAAUGGGCGGAAGCCUGAUGCAGAAACGCCGCGUGCGGGAUGACGGCCUGUGGGUUGUAAACCGCUUUCGCCUGUGACGAAGCGUGAGUGACGGUAAUGGGUAAAGAAGCACCGGCUAACUACGUG